UACGGAGGGGGCUAGCGUUGUUCGGAAUUACUGGGCGUAAAGCGCACGUAGGCGGCUUUGUAAGUUAGAGGUGAAAGCCCAGGGCUUAACCCUGGAAUUGCCUUUAAGACUGCAUCGCUAGAAUUGUGGAGAGGUAAGUGGAAUUCCGAGUGUAGAGGUGAAAUUCGUAGAUAUUGGGAAGAACGCCGGUGGCGAAGGCGGCGAGCUGGUCCGUAUCUGACGCUGAGGCGCGACAGCGUGGGGAGCAAACAGG
This 253-nucleotide ribosomal RNA is filed under the name uncultured bacterium. Its description in RNAcentral is "partial 16S ribosomal RNA". It matches the Rfam family "Bacterial small subunit ribosomal RNA", at positions 524 to 776 of the family's 1533-position model. The record is from RNAcentral.